Molecule: long non-coding RNA, 778 nt
Organism: Malus domestica (apple)
Lineage: Eukaryota; Viridiplantae; Streptophyta; Magnoliopsida; Rosales; Rosaceae
Source: RefSeq, a predicted model, not a curated record
AUAUCAGGCGGGCCGGUCUUUUUGGGCUUUUUGAGUUUGAGAAUAAACCCGACCCGGAACGAUCCGGCCCAUGAAACCAAGGACCCGAAUCGGGUUCAGGGGCAUAAAAUCGUAGUUUCACUCUUUGAGGAUUUUGACGAAAGCUUCUUCGUCUUCCCGGCUCCGUGUCUGAUCAGAAGAGUGAAACGGGAUUGAAGUGGAUUGCUUGCAGCUGAAACCAGAGAGGAAUGGGAAGCCAAGAGACUGUGAAGCAGCUUGAGGAUUGCUCAGUGGCCAAUGCAAUGGGCACUUGGGUAUUCUCAGUGGCAGGGGCUCUACUAGCAAUUCCGGUGGGGAUAAAAAGGAAAUCUCUGGCUCCGCUUGUGUUCUUCGGCACAACAGGUACUAUGCUCGAUAUUAUUAUGGGGAUCACUCAAUGUGAAAGAGAACAUGCAGAACGCCAAGCGAAGCUAUUAGAAGCGCAAACUAGUGCAACUGAUGCUUCUUUUGCUGAGACUGGGGCAGAGUCAUAGUUUUAACUCGUAAGCAUAUGGCCGGUACACUCGUCUUUCGCUGCUGUCGGUUUUCUCAUCAAGUUGCUUUACUGUUUGUUUCCCUUUUUCAUGAGUUAAUAAUCACGCGAAAGUUGUCAAUGAUAUGACGUCAUGUCUAAUCUCCAUCGCAUGGCGGCGAUUCCAUGAGUUAAUCAUUCGAAGCAGAGAAUUCUAAUUGCUCUGUUUUUAUCUUAUCUUGGGAAAUACCUGAAUGAAAAAUCACUUUAAAGGUGUUUAGCAGCAAA